CAUUCCCGUUACUGGAACCUCGUCCGCUGUACUUCUUCAUGGCUUUCACGCGAAACGCUUCUGCGUCGCUUAACUAUUAUAGGUCGGUGCUGCGUUAAUCGCGCGUCGGACGGACUCAUUAAUUCGAUGCAAGUCACAAAGCUAAGUACCUAGUGUAAGAGGUUAGGAAGAAAGAGACAGAAGAUAUAAAUCAAAAUGGUUGAACCCGAGUUUAUCUUUUGUUCCGGCGUACAUGUUUACGACGUUACAACGUAAAAUUGUAAUGCUCCAUAGAAUAUAACUUUCCGCUUCGGUAUACAGUGGCAACCACAUCAGGGGACAGACGUUUAUGUCCAGCUGUUGUAGCAGAAAGUGAAGUAGGGGUAAGAUUUUACAACGAGGCUCGGCAAAAGUGAUUUAUACCUUGGAAAAACUGCAUGACGUUUACGAUAUCUAGUCGCGAAUUAUUUAUGGUGGUUGCUUGUGUCAAGUGAACCUCGCUAUGCAUAUCUCGUCUUUUUCUUAGAAGAUACGCAGGUAUCAGGUGAAAGAUAGAAUUCGACUGGGUUUGACGUUAAAUCACGUGUGACACGGUGAUAUAUAUAUACAAUUUGAAGCAAAAGAUUUAAAAUGAUACCCUGGGAAACAACGAGUAAGAUGGAAGCGAAUCUUUGGCUUUUGAUCAAUGUGCUAGUAAAUUAAUGUUAAAUACACGUAAAAUCAAAAUAGCAAUUAUCUGGAAAAAGAACGCCUUUUUGUUGCUGCAUCGACUUUUAAUUUGAAGCUAUUUCAUCCCCAACUGGUAAUGCUGGUUCACCACUGCACUGUUGUAGGCGACCACAGCAGUUUGAAUUUGGUUUGAUCUAGGUCCCCUAUAUAUGGCAAUAAAUUUCAAACGCUUGCACGUCCGAGGAGAAUUGAGAGCAACUUCAUCUCUAACGCCAAUGACAUUCACUGGCUGUUCUAUUCUAUGCCCCACUUCAUGGCAGUGACUAAGCAACCAAUAGCAGUACGUUUCAGCUAGUCGUUUGUUUAAAGAGAACGUUCGCCUUCUUGAGAACGAGCGUCAUAGCUUCUGAAAACUUGUCGACCAUUUGUGCAUCGACGUCAAUAAUUCUUGACGCAUUUUGAAAAUUUGGAUUUUUGCCUGUGUCCGUUUCAACUGGAAGGGUCAGACACA
Molecule: long non-coding RNA, 1159 nt
Organism: Eufriesea mexicana
Lineage: Eukaryota; Metazoa; Arthropoda; Insecta; Hymenoptera; Apidae
Exons: 6
Source: RefSeq, a predicted model, not a curated record